This 1027-nucleotide unclassified non-coding RNA is filed under the name Chlorencoelia torta. Its description in RNAcentral is "sequence contains 18S rRNA gene, ITS1, 5.8S rRNA gene, ITS2". The stretch from base 737 to 890 matches the Rfam family "5.8S ribosomal RNA". The record is from RNAcentral. Lineage: Eukaryota; Fungi; Ascomycota; Leotiomycetes; Helotiales; Cenangiaceae.
AAUCCCUUCGGGGGUCUGGCUUGCCAGGUGGUAAUUACUUACCUGCUAGCUAUAUGAUUCUUCCACAGUGACACUUAUAGAAGCCUAUGCGCCCCUGCAAAGGGGUUCUGCCGCGACUGAAAAUAAUGGUAAAAAUGCAAGUCAGCUUUCGAGCUGGCAACACAAUCGAAAUGCGGGGAUCUCCUAAAGCUCGGUGGUACCAACUGGCAGUGGAAACGCUCCCAGGGCCCGUGUUAACUACACGGGGUACGGUAAAAAUCCAUCGAGAUUUUGCAAUGGACAAUCCGCAGCAGAGCCCCUAACGGCCCACCAGUGGUGCCUACGGGGAGUGUUCACAGACUAAGUGAUUGUGGGUCAUGCGUAAGGUAUGGUCUAAGAUAUAGUCGGGCCCCUUCUGAAAUGUUGGGGGUUAAGUUAUUACGAUUGCCGGACACAUAAUGGGGUAUUACUUUAUAACUAUAUAUAUUAAUAUUCUCCAAGGUCGUUCACACUGGACAGACCUCUGAUCUUUGUCAGGCUAUGUAACUAAAACUAAAAACCGUUCCGUAGGUGAACCUGCGGAAGGAUCAUUACAGAGCUCAUGCCCGAAAGGGUAGACCUCCCACCCUUUGUGUAUUUUAUACUUUGUUGCUUUGGCGGUGCGGCUGCAAGGCCACCGGCUCCGGCUGGUGUGUGCCCGCCAGAGGACCCCCAAACUCUGAAUGUUAGUAUCGUCCGAGUAUUCUAUAAUAGUUAAAACUUUCAACAACGGAUCUCUUGGUUCUGGCAUCGAUGAAGAACGCAGCGAAAUGCGAUAAGUAAUGUGAAUUGCAGAAUUCAGUGAAUCAUCGAAUCUUUGAACGCACAUUGCGCCCCUUGGUAUUCCGGGGGGCAUGCCUGCUCGAGCGUCAUUUCAACCCCUCAAGCUCUGCUUGGUGUUGGGCCCUGCUGGCAACGGCAGGCCUUAAAGACAGUGGCGGUGCCCUGAGGCCCUGAGCGUAGUACAUCUCUCGCUACAGGUUCCUGAGGGUUCACUGGCCAGCAACCC